UAGCAGUGGCUUUUACAAGCAGAGAGAUUUGUUUCUAUGAUCUACUGUCCAAAGAAGAAUUUCCUUGUCAAUAUAAACUCCAAGGCCUGAGAGGAACUCCCAUUUGCAUGGAUUAUUGGUAUGAUCCUCUUGAUCCUAAAGAAUCCAUCCUUUCUUUUGGGGAUAUAACUGGAAAGGUUCAAGUGAUAGUUUUCACAGCAGCUGUCAUUUCCCUUUUUGAACGGCCUGCUAAUGCAUGUGAUGAUGAAGAAGCAACAAUGACCAUCGACUGGGCAGACUUGCUCUCUGGAUGUCACAAAUGUUGCUACAUAUUACAGCACACACUUCAUCAUUGAGACUGGGUCAGGCAAGUUUCUUACAAUGCCUCUUUAGAUGCUUUCAUUUCCAGUACAACCAGC
RNAcentral lists this long non-coding RNA (398 nucleotides) under Cricetulus griseus (Chinese hamster). RNAcentral describes it as "lncRNA (ENSCGRG00000025590.1)". Lineage: Eukaryota; Metazoa; Chordata; Mammalia; Rodentia; Cricetidae. The record is from RNAcentral.